GUUGAAACACUGGUUCUCGUUCGAUGACCGAAGUUAAGCAACAUCGAACCUGGUCUGUACCUAGAUGGAUGACCGAUCGGGAAUACCAGGUGCUGUAAG
Molecule: non-coding RNA, 99 nt
Organism: Acanthosepion pharaonis
Lineage: Eukaryota; Metazoa; Mollusca; Cephalopoda; Sepiida; Sepiidae
Source: the annotation of a GenBank genome assembly